UUAUUCUUACGGUACCCUCAAUGGCUCCCGCAGGAGCUUUUUGUUCCCGUACAAAAGCAGUUUACGACCCUGAGGGCCUUCAUCCUGCACGCGGCAUGGCUGGUUCAGGCUUGCGCCCAUUGACCAAUAUUCC
This 133-nucleotide ribosomal RNA is filed under the name uncultured bacterium. RNAcentral describes it as "partial 16S ribosomal RNA". The record is from RNAcentral.